This 496-nucleotide ribosomal RNA is filed under the name uncultured bacterium. RNAcentral describes it as "partial 16S ribosomal RNA". It matches the Rfam family "Bacterial small subunit ribosomal RNA", at positions 29 to 507 of the family's 1533-position model. The record is from RNAcentral.
AUGCACGCUGGCGGCGUGCCUAAUACCUGCAAGUCGCGCGAACAGACGAGGAGCUUGCUCCUCUGACGUUAGCGGCGGACGGGUGAGUAACACGUGGAUAACCUACCUAUAAGACUGGGAUAACUUCGGGAAACCGGAGCUAAUACCGGAUAAUAUAUUGAACCGCAUGGUUCCAUAGUGAAAGACGGUUUUGCUGUCACUUAUAGAUGGAUCCGCGCCGCAUUAGCUAGUUGGUAAGGUAACGGCUUACCAAGGCGACGAUGCGUAGCCGACCUGAGAGGGUGAUCGGCCACACUGGAACUGAGACACGGUCCAGACUCCUACGGGAGGCAGCAGUAGGGAAUCUUCCGCAAUGGGCGAAAGCCUGACGGAGCAACGCCGCGUGAGUGAUGAAGGUCUUCGGAUCGUAAAACUCUGUUAUUAGGGAAGAACAAAUGUGUAAGUAACUAUGCACGUCUUGACGGUACCUAAUCAGAAAGCCACGGCUAACUACGUG